Molecule: unclassified non-coding RNA, 270 nt
Filed under: Hevea brasiliensis (rubber tree)
Lineage: Eukaryota; Viridiplantae; Streptophyta; Magnoliopsida; Malpighiales; Euphorbiaceae
Source: RNAcentral
AUACAAGGACUGCCUUAAUGGGUUAGACAUUGCCCCCCUGCCAUUGUCAAGUAGCGUAAUUUUCCGAACACCCCAAGCCAUAAGCAUUCGGGCAACCUGGCAUCCAAGUGUACCUGCUCCUAAGAGAAGACACUUGGUAGAAGAUAACUCAUCCAAGUUAAGUGAAGGCCAAGCACGCCAUCUCAUUAGUUUUAAAUUCAAAUCUGCUGCAGAUAUGGCCAACAUUGCAGGAUCCAUAGAUUUAGCAAGGUUAAUAACCCUGGAUAUGUG